UGGGGAAUUUUGGACAAUGGGGGCAACCCUGAUCCAGCCAUCCCGCGUGUGCGAUGAAGGCCUUCGGGUUGUAAAGCACUUUUGGCAGGGAAGAAACAGCCUGGGCUAAUAUCCCGGGCGACUGACGGUACCUGCAGAAUAAGCACCGGCUAACUACGUGCCAGCAGCCGCGGUAAUACGUAGGGUGCAAGCGUUAAUCGGAAUUACUGGGCGUAAAGCGUGCGCAGGCGGUUCGGAAAGAAAGGUGUGAAAUCCCAGGGCUUAACCUUGGAACUGCACUUUUAACUACCGGGCUAGAGUACGUCAGAGGGGGGUAGAAUUCCACGUGUAGCAGUGAAAUGCGUAGAGAUUAGGAAGAACACCAGUGGCGAAGGCGACUUUCUGGACCGUAACUGACGCUGAGGCAUGAAAGCGUGGGGAGCAAACA
Molecule: ribosomal RNA, 427 nt
Filed under: uncultured bacterium
Lineage: Bacteria
Description: bacterial SSU rRNA
Rfam family: Bacterial small subunit ribosomal RNA
Source: RNAcentral